Molecule: transfer RNA, 82 nt
Filed under: Entomophthora muscae
Lineage: Eukaryota; Fungi; Entomophthoromycota; Entomophthoromycetes; Entomophthorales; Entomophthoraceae
Description: tRNA-Ser
Rfam family: tRNA
About the family: Transfer RNA (tRNA) molecules are approximately 80 nucleotides in length.
Source: RNAcentral
GGCAGUUUGUCCGAGUGGUUAAGGAGUCAGCCUCGAAAGCUGAUGGGCUCUGCCCGCACAGGUUCAAAUCCUGUAGCUGUCG